UAGAUAUAAACUAUCAAUUAAGAAUCUAUAAUAUAAAAAAUUUACAUAUAAAAUUUGAUAUAAAAUAAAAAACUGCAUCAAUCACAUCGAUGCCCUGAAUUUGAUCUAACCUAUAGAUCAUAUUGGUUGAGUUCAGAACUCAUCAUCUUUUCAUAGAUCGAUGAUCUCUACUAUUGGUAUGCAUGAUAUGAAGCUCUCACUAAUGUUGAGUAGCUGCACAGAUUGUCCGAUCUCUACAAAUCAUCCCCUCGAAGCCCUGAUCGGAUCUUCCUUUGCGGGAGUGCUAGCUCACGUCGAAAGCUCUAGAUGGC
RNAcentral lists this long non-coding RNA (311 nucleotides) under Elaeis guineensis (African oil palm). RNAcentral describes it as "long non-coding RNA (EGUI_LNC057639)". Lineage: Eukaryota; Viridiplantae; Streptophyta; Magnoliopsida; Arecales; Arecaceae. The record is from RNAcentral.